RNAcentral lists this RNase P RNA (434 nucleotides) under Rhodospirillaceae bacterium. Its description in RNAcentral is "RNase P RNA component class A". It matches the Rfam family "Bacterial RNase P class A". From Rfam's summary of the family: Ribonuclease P (RNase P) is a ubiquitous endoribonuclease, found in archaea, bacteria and eukarya as well as chloroplasts and mitochondria. Its best characterised activity is the generation of mature 5'-ends of tRNAs by cleaving the 5'-leader elements of precursor-tRNAs. Cellular RNase Ps are ribonucleoproteins. The record is from RNAcentral. Lineage: Bacteria; Pseudomonadati; Pseudomonadota; Alphaproteobacteria; Rhodospirillales; Rhodospirillaceae.
CCAGAUGGCCGGAUGACCGCUUUGGUCCCAGUGAUGGGAUCGGGGAGGAAAGUCCGGGCUCCACGGAAAAACGGUGCCGGAUAACGUCCGGCGGGCGUCAAGCCUAGGGACAGUGCCACAGAGAGCAGACCGCCGUUCUUUCGAGAGCGGUAAGGGUGAAACGGUGCGGUAAGAGCGCACCGCGCUCCCGGCAACGGCGAGCGGCAUGGCAAACCCCACCGGGAGCAAGACCAGAUAGGAGGGCGCGUUCAGGGCAACCUGAACAGGUGUUUUCCGCACCGAUCCUCGGGUAGGUCGCGUGAGGCGUUCGGUAACGAACGUCCCAGAUGAAUGGUCAUCCAUGGGCCGGACGCGCGUGAGUGAUGGUGGUUCGCCACCAUAUCGUGCGCGGCUGCGGCCCAAGACAGAACCCGGCUUACAGGCCGUCUGGCGCU